Cinara cedri is the source of this 246-nucleotide non-coding RNA. Lineage: Eukaryota; Metazoa; Arthropoda; Insecta; Hemiptera; Aphididae. The record is from the annotation of a GenBank genome assembly.
UUUUUUUAUGAUAUUUUCUAUGUUAUUCCAAAGGAUAAUAAAGUUCGUGCAAAAAAGAACCAUUAUUUCCUCUCUCUUACUCUUUCUCUCUCUCUCCCACACACACACUCUAUAUAACGAAGUCUAACGUCAUACUUUUGUCAUCAUCCACGUAGGUAUAAAGAACAAUAAUUUCAUCCUUCGUCGAACUCUGCCGGAACGUUGUCCCGCCGCGGGUGUAUAACACAGACACUAUCGACACUAUCC